This 514-nucleotide unclassified non-coding RNA is filed under the name Hevea brasiliensis (rubber tree). Lineage: Eukaryota; Viridiplantae; Streptophyta; Magnoliopsida; Malpighiales; Euphorbiaceae. The record is from RNAcentral.
AUGAGAUCUCGUAUUAGUGCUGAUAUGAUGGCACCCAAUCUCAUAUUGAUGUAAAACUCGAUUUUCCUCCUAUAAUUAGGUCUCACAAUGAGGACUCUUCAUCAUGUUCAGAAGCUAGUUCUUCCUCUUCUUCUAAAGAAUCAAUACCAAGAACAGCAUGGCCAUUACCAAAGGCCUUGAUGUGGUCUUUCAGAGACCUCUUGUGCUUAAAGUCAGACCCACAAAUACAAUACCAGAUUUUGCCACAAUUCUUUUCAUGGGUUCUCCAAUCACCUUUAACAGCAAAUGGCUUGCCACAUUUUCUGCACAUAAAGGGUUUGAUUCCAUGCUUUCUCUUGUAAUGAGUUUGGAGUGUUCUAAAGUCUUUGAGUGGUCUUGCUCUUGGGUGAUCAAUAUUGUGCUUGCACCCUGGUGCACAGCAAAAGCAUGGGAGUCUCAGCAUUCCUGUUGGUUGGGUUCCUCUUAAUGAGUCAGGUCCUUUUCUGUAUUGAGAUCCAUGUCCCCACAUAUGCAU